AUGGCCUCGGGAGUGUUCGGUACCCCCAUUUCAGAGAAGACGGUGCUGGCCACUGGAGAGUAUAAGGAACCCAUCACUCAAAAGGAUGUUGCAGACUAUACCAUGAAGAUGAUCAACGCCGGUGGUAAGGAUAUUAACGCACAAACCUUCGUCGACAACCUCAAGGAGAGGUACGGUAACGGAAUAUCUGUAAAAUGCCUCAUCUACAAUGCCACCGGUGCCACUUUGAACUUGGCUAACUACAAAGACUGGCACGGCCAUAUCUACGAUACACCCUACCCAUCAGAUAUUCAGAAUGGGCAAUGGGGGGCAUUUCUCCACGUCCACCCAAGUGGCGCUGCGGUUGGUUCAGCUGGUGCCGUUGUGUAUCGUACCAAGGUCCCAUCCAGCAGCAGCUCCUGCGAUUGGUUGUUCUCCUGGACCGUCCCCUACAUUGGUGCCAAUGGGAUCUACACCGAAAUCCGUGAGGAAGGGCACUACCCAAGUGUGGGAAGCUGGGAUUAUAUCUAUGACGUGAAGCUGGAAAAUGCAAAUCUCAACUCUACUGAUAAAAACUAUGGACAUGUUUCCGAGACAAACAUCGGUGAAGGCUCUACCAUGAACGCUCGUGGAGUUUUCCAGUUUCCCUACUAG
RNAcentral lists this ribosomal RNA (633 nucleotides) under Triticum aestivum (bread wheat). RNAcentral describes it as "partial small subunit ribosomal RNA". Lineage: Eukaryota; Viridiplantae; Streptophyta; Magnoliopsida; Poales; Poaceae. The record is from RNAcentral.